AAUAUUGGACAAUGGGGGAAACCCUGAUCCAGCAAUGCCGCGUGGGUGAAGAAGGCCUGCGUGUUGUAAAGCCCUCUCGUCCGGGCAGAAAAGCGCUUGGCUAAUACCCUGGUGCCUGGACGUUCCCGGACGAAGAAGCACCGGCUACCUCCGUGCCAGCAGCCGCGGUAAUACGGAGGGUGCGAGCGUUAAUCGGAAUUCAUGGUUGUAGAGCGCGCGUAGGCGGUUGUGGAAGUCGGGUGUGAAAGCCCCGGGCUUAACCUGGGAAUUGCAUUCGAUACUCCAUGGCUAGAGUCUGGGAGAGGGAAGGGGAAUUCCGGGUGUAGCGGUGAAAUGCGUAGAUAUCCGGAGGAACACCGGUGGCGAAGGCGCCUUCCUGGCCUAAGACUGACGCUGAGGUGCGAAAGCGUGGGGAGCAAACAGG
Molecule: ribosomal RNA, 424 nt
Filed under: uncultured bacterium
Lineage: Bacteria
Description: partial 16S ribosomal RNA
Rfam family: Bacterial small subunit ribosomal RNA
Source: RNAcentral